CUGCUUCCAGUAGUCUAAAAAACCCAUUUUUUGAUGAUAAUUGACUACAAUGUCUAGGGUAAUUGAUUACACCUGCUGGCAGUAGCAAGAAUACUGCAUCUUUUAGCAGUAAUGCAGUAUCCUUUACACUCUAAACCAAUCCCAAUGCUUGUAUCAAUACACAUUGAAAUCUUUACAUAACUAUGCAACAACCAACCAUAUCAUCCAUGCAUUAAACCAAGCUCUUAACAAUUCAA
This 236-nucleotide long non-coding RNA is filed under the name Lathyrus oleraceus (garden pea). Its description in RNAcentral is "Pisum sativum (pea) long non-coding RNA (PSAT_LNC016511)". The record is from RNAcentral. Lineage: Eukaryota; Viridiplantae; Streptophyta; Magnoliopsida; Fabales; Fabaceae.